CGAAAACUCACAGUUUUCUCUGUAACCCAAGACCAACUCCUUAAGGCUUUCCUGGAGAAAUUUGAGGCUGCAGAUGUCACCCAUUACAAUACUGUACCCCAAAGUGUAAAACAUGACAUUUCCUGUUCCCACUAGGUGGCGCUGUCCCUGAUGUCAAAUAUGGCAGUUGAAAUAUGUUCAGGGGUGGAGCCUUAUCAUAUGUGUCCACUUUGGUCAAGGUCGGACAAUGUAUGACAGAACGAGAGGCAAUAAGAUUUUCAUGGCGAGUCAUCGAAAUUCGCCGUGGCGCCACGGCCUCACCGUAUCACGAAAACUCAAAAGCUCCGCAAUUUAACAUGGCCCAGGUGUGUAGUUGACACUGACCAAAUAUGAAGCUUGUACGAUGAAAUUCCAAUGAGGAGUUCGCAAAAGUUCGAGGCAUGGAAAUGGCAAAAUUAGAGCCAAAAUGUCACCUUCACUUCCAAAUGGCGGACUUCCUGUUGGGUUUGCGUCAAUGGUCCCACUGACUUUUUGUUCGUCUUGGCAUGAUACACAUGUGUGCCAAAUUUCAUACAUGUAGCUAAAACGAUGUGUUCGUGGGGCUGCAUUUAACAAGGCAUAGGUGGCGCUACAGAGCCAUUUCCCAGUGCUCAUAUGUAAAACCAUUAAAAUACAAAAUUUUUCACCAGACCUGGCAUGUGUGCAAAAUUUCAUGAGUUUUUGAGCAUGUUAAAGCCCUCAAAAAGGCAAUUCAUUUCGGUAAAAAAAUAAUAAUAAUAAUAAUAAUAAUAAUAAUAAUAAUAAUAAUAAUAAUAAUAAUAAACAGAGCAGAUACAAUAGGGCCUUCGCACUCUCAGUGCUCGGGCCCUAAUUAAAGCUGCAAGCAGCGAUACGAGGGCCCUCGCACCCCGGCGCGUCGAGCCAAGCCCAACACCUAAAACCAGCAUGUUCGAUCUGAUGUCACAUUGAUGGAAUUCAUGCCUAGAACCACCAGCUAACUAUUCAUCUCAUUCAAUCAUUAUUAUAGUCGUCCCACUAGGUGGCGCUCUAACCAUUACUGACAAAUGGCAUAACAAACAUUUCCGAGCUCGAGUCUCAUCAUGCCUGCGACCUUUGGGAGAGAUUGGACAUUGUGUUUUUGAGCGACAGCAGGUUACUGCUUUUUGGCGAGUGAUUGAAACUCCACGUGCCGCCAUGACCACCUCGUUUCCCUGAACGUAAAACGCUUCGCAAUUUAACAUCACAAAGGUCUUUAGAUU
This is a long non-coding RNA of Oreochromis aureus, 1238 nucleotides long. The record is from Ensembl. NCBI's taxonomy places the organism in Eukaryota, Metazoa, Chordata, Actinopteri, Cichliformes, Cichlidae.